Junco hyemalis (dark-eyed junco) is the source of this 2386-nucleotide long non-coding RNA. Lineage: Eukaryota; Metazoa; Chordata; Aves; Passeriformes; Passerellidae. The record is from Ensembl.
GUGGGAUUGGGGUGGCCUUUGCCCAGCUCUGCUUGUGUGGCCUGGAAAACAUCCCAGAGUGGAGCUGGUGGGCUCAGGUGUGAGGGACACCCUGGAGAUGUCCUGGGUGGGUUCUCCAGGCCCACCAGCCCAGGGGACAGGCCCAGGGUGCGGUUCCUGCUGUUCCCCAGGUCUGGGUGUCCCCGGGGUGGGGAAUGUGCCAGCUGUGGUGCCAGCCUGGCUGUGCCACUGCUCCCCCGUCCUGUGACCCCCCAGAUCUGUGCCCAGCACGGAUCCAGGGCCUUCAUCCCCCCAAAUCUCCAGUGGCACAAAUGGGACACAACACUACAAACCUGUCAAAAAUUGGAGCUAAAUCCCCAAUUUUAUUUUCUUCUUUUCUGCUCUGUGCUUGAGAGUUUGAUUUUUUUUCCCUAAUUUUGUUUCCUUUGGAGCAUUUCACAAAAGAUCUCCUGCUCCCAGCCCAACACUGCUGCUGGGGAGAAGCUGCUGUCAGCUUGAAUCCAUCUCAUUUUCAGAUGGAGAUCACUGCCAGCUGCCCCAGAGCUGCUGGUGUGAGGCAGCCUGGCAGCCUCUGUGGAUGCUCAGAUCCCUGGCUCAGCCCCGGAGGUGUUUGCUCCCUGCUCUGGGCACAAGGAGCACUGCCAGGGCAGCCAGCACGGAGCCACUUCCACGAGGAACGGCAAAAACUCGGAAUUCUUCAUCAGCCUCGGAGUUAAUCGUUAUUAAUCACUCCCAGCGCUUUCCUGAGGGUUGGGAGCAGCCACGAGAGGGCAGGAGCUGCUGCUGCUGUUCGGGAGGAACGCGGUUGUCCCCAGGAAAUGAUGAAAGCAGCAGCAGGGCCAUUUCUGGGAGAAGCUUCUGAGGGAUAUCAAUGGCAUUGCGCUUGGGAAACUGCAAACAUCAGCCCCUGGGUGAUUCCCUGAGGGAAACACUCACAGGAAACUUGCCCAGCCCUUGAGGAAGGUAAGUGAAGCUCUCAGAUGUGCUCAAGCCACCGAGGAGCACCAAACCACCCCAAGAUCCAGCUAAACCCAGAGAAAAUAAGGCAAAAAUCCUAAUAAUGCAGGUAGGAGUGUGGGAUCUGCUUAGAGAGCAGCUUAAACACCUCAAGGUUCUUCAAUCCUGCCACAGAGUUUAGGAUUUUUGCUUUUCAUUGUUUUUAACCUCCCCUCAGCUGUCAGGGGGAAGCUGGCUCAGGUCUGGUUGGUCCCACUGGGGUGAAACAGCCACGAGCUCCUUUGGAACAGGAGGAAUUCAGGGCUCUGGAGCAGCAGGGUGAGGAGCUGGCUGUGAGUGCAGCCCAGGUUUGGGCUGUGCCAGGCUCCUGUGCAGCUUUGCUGCAGCUGGAAUGUGGGCAGGAACUGUGCUCCAGGGGAAACAGCUCGUAGGCAGCAGCAGGAGGUUCAGUGUUUGCCUCCCAAGCCUUUCAAACUCUGGUAUUUAUCCCGCUUCCCAAACUGCUGAAAAGGAAACAAAAUUCCUCAGGUCUCCUCUGAGCCAACAGGAAAUGCUUCUGGAUUUGGGUUCCAACGUGACUCAGUUCAGAGAUUACAAAUGACCAAAACAACUCCACUGAAGUGUGGAGUCAACAAAAACAAGUCAACAUUUCAAGGAGAAUGAAAAAUUAUCCCUAAAAAUGUUUGGAAAAGUAUUUUUAUGUCCUAUAAAAGGUGCUGCUGCUCCUAGCAAUGUUCUAGUGGCUACCUUAUUGUCUCAGAAAUUAAAUUUAUUCCAUCCCACUGUGGAUCAGAACAAUCUCUGCCCGGGUGUUUUGUUGAGCUGUGGCCUGGAGGAUUUGUGGUUCAUCCCUGGGAGUUUUUCCUGGGAUUUCUACACUUGGAGGUCUUGGUAGUUCCCUUUUAGGGAGAUGGUGUUGUUCUCCUGGGAUUUGCAGUCAAACACAAGAGGUUACAUGCCCAAAAUUAAACAGGAAAAUGACUCAGCAAUUAGUCACUACAUUGAAACACUCCUUUUUCUCUUCUACCUUUAAGUUUAGCAGAGCUCUGAUGAUUUAGGGCUUAAAAACAUCCUGGCACAAACAAAGAAACUCCUUUAUCAGCAGAAAAACAAAUGAAUCCAUUGAUACAACAGAGUUUAUUUAUUCAGCCUAAAUAAGCUUAGAGGGGGAUGCAUUUCACAGGAUCAUUUUUGCAAGGUGCAAUAAUUUCAAUUCCUCCUUUGCAAAAAAAAAAAAUCACUAAAGAGAAACUGGGUUUGCAAAGUUUUAACUGCAGGGAAACUGCUACAGCUGGAAACUUUCUGUGUCAUUAAUUCUACAAAAAGGUGUACAAAAGGCUGCUAUAAAAAUAUUUUGUUACAGGCCUUCCUCUGAGACAGCCUGACCCCUAAAAACACUGAAUAAAAUACAAUAAUUAUCAAUAAAACA